RNAcentral lists this ribosomal RNA (496 nucleotides) under uncultured bacterium. Its description in RNAcentral is "partial 16S ribosomal RNA". It matches the Rfam family "Bacterial small subunit ribosomal RNA", at positions 29 to 523 of the family's 1533-position model. The record is from RNAcentral.
AUUGAGCGCUGGCGGCAUGCUUCACACAUGCAAGUCGAACGGUAGAGGGGGCAACCCCUUGAGAGUGGCGAACGGGUGAGUAAUGCAUCGGAACGUGCCCAGUCGUGGGGGAUAACGCAGCGAAAGCUGUGCUAAUACCGCAUACGAUCUCUGGAUGAAAGCGGGGGACCGAAAGGCCUCGCGCGAUUGGAGCGGCCGAUGUCAGAUUAGGUAGUUGGUGGGGUAAAGGCUCACCAAGCCAACGAUCUGUAGCUGGUCUGAGAGGACGACCAGCCACACUGGGACUGAGACACGGCCCAGACUCCUACGGGAGGCAGCAGUGGGGAAUUUUGGACAAUGGGCGCAAGCCUGAUCCAGCAAUGCCGCGUGCAGGAAGAAGGCCUUCGGGUUGUAAACUGCUUUUGUACGGAACGAAAAGGUCUGGGUUAAUACCCUGGGCACAUGACGGUACCGUAAGAAUAAGCACCGGCUAACUACGUGCCAGCAGCCGCAGUAA